AGUUAACGCUGGCAUCGUGCAUAACACAUGCAAGUCGAACGGGACUUUAAUUUGUAGCAAUACAGAUUGAAGUUUAGUGGCAGACGGGUGAGUAAUGUAUAAGUAACCAACCUUUAAGUGGGGAAUAACAAUCCGAAAGGGUUGCUAAUACCCCAUAACAUCUAAUAGCGGCAUCGUUAAUAGAUUAAAGAUUUAUCGCUUGAAGACGGACUUAUAUUCUAUCAGCUAGUGGGCAGUGUAACGGACUACCAAAGCGACGACGGAUAGCCGGCCGAAACAGCGGACGGGCCGAAAGGGCAGCGCGAGACGGGACAUACUCCUACGGGAGGCAGAAGUGGGGAAUUUUGGAGAAUGCGCGAAAGCCUGAUCCAGCAACGAUGCAUGGAGAAUGAAGGUUCUCGGAUUGUAAACUCCUUUUAAGAGGGAAUAAAAAAAUGACGGUACCUCUCGAAUAAGCCACGGCUAACAACGUGCCAGACGCCGCCGUAA
Molecule: ribosomal RNA, 489 nt
Filed under: uncultured bacterium
Lineage: Bacteria
Description: partial 16S ribosomal RNA
Rfam family: Bacterial small subunit ribosomal RNA
Source: RNAcentral